GACGAACCGUGCGAACGUUAUUCGGAAUCACUGGGCUUAAAGCGCGUGUAGGCGGAUGGGAACGUCGGUAGUUGAAAGCCCCCGGCUCAACCGGGGAAGUGGUGCCGAAACGACCCGUCUGGAGGGACGUAGGGGGACCUGGAACUUCCGGUGGAGCGGUGAAAUGCGUAGAUAUCUGGAGGAACACCGGUGGCGAAGGCGGCAUCCUGGACCGAGAUUGACGCUGAUGCGCGAAAGCCAGGGGAGCAAACGGG
Molecule: ribosomal RNA, 254 nt
Filed under: uncultured bacterium
Lineage: Bacteria
Description: partial 16S ribosomal RNA
Rfam family: Bacterial small subunit ribosomal RNA
Source: RNAcentral